Molecule: ribosomal RNA, 896 nt
Filed under: uncultured Bacillota bacterium
Lineage: Bacteria; Bacillati; Bacillota
Description: bacterial SSU rRNA
Rfam family: Bacterial small subunit ribosomal RNA
Source: RNAcentral
UCAGGACGAACGCUGGCGGCGUGCCUAACACAUGCAAGUCGAACGGAACUAUUUUAAAAGAUUUCUUCGGAAUGAUUUUGGCUUAGUUUAGUGGCGGACGGGUGAGUAACGCGUGAGUAACCCGCCUUCAAGAGGGGGAUAACGUUCUGAAAAGGACGCUAAUACCGCAUAACAUAUCGGAAUCGCAUGGUUCUGAUAUCAAAGAUCUUAUCGCUUGAAGAUGGACUCGCGUCCGAUUAGUUAGUUGGUGAGGUAACGGCUCACCAAGACCGCGAUCGGUAGCCGGACUGAGAGGUUGAACGGCCACAUUGGGACUGAGACACGGCCCAGACUCCUACGGGAGGCAGCAGUGGGGGAUAUUGCGCAAUGGGGGCAACCCUGACGCAGCAACGCCGCGUGAAGGAUGAAGGUUUUCGGAUUGUAAACUUCUUUUCUUAAGGACGAAAAUUGACGGUACUUAAGGAAUAAGCUCCGGCUAACUACGUGCCAGCAGCCGCGGUAAUACGUAGGGAGCAAGCGUUGUCCGGAUUUACUGGGUGUAAAGGGUGCGUAGGCGGCAAUGCAAGUCAGAUGUGAAAUCUAUGGGCUCAACCCAUAAACUGCAUUUGAAACUGCGUUGCUUGAGUGAAGUAGAGGCAGGCGGAAUUCCCCGUGUAGCGGUGAAAUGCGUAGAGAUGGGGAGGAACACCAGUGGCGAAGGCGGCCUGCUGGGCUUUAACUGACGCUGAGGCACGAAAGCGUGGGUAGCAAACAGGAUUAGAUACCCUGGUAGUCCACGCUGUAAACGAUGAUUACUAGGUGUGGGGGGUCUGACCCCUUCCGUGCCGGAGUUAACACAAUAAGUAAUCCACCUGGGGGGUACGGCCGCAAGGUUGCAACUCAAAGGAAUUGACGGA